Molecule: transfer RNA, 87 nt
Filed under: Diddensiella santjacobensis
Lineage: Eukaryota; Fungi; Ascomycota; Dipodascomycetes; Dipodascales; Trichomonascaceae
Description: tRNA-Leu
Rfam family: tRNA
About the family: Transfer RNA (tRNA) molecules are approximately 80 nucleotides in length.
Source: RNAcentral
UUGACAGUGGCGGAACUGGUAUACGCGCUAUGUUUAGGUCUUAGUAGUAUCUCUCAUACUAUGUAAGUUCAAAUCUUACCUGUCAUA